Non-coding RNA from Coffea arabica (coffee), 116 nucleotides. NCBI's taxonomy places the organism in Eukaryota, Viridiplantae, Streptophyta, Magnoliopsida, Gentianales, Rubiaceae. The record is from RefSeq and is a predicted model, not a curated record.
CGUGGGAUGGGAUUUCCAGAUAAAUUGGUGGUCAAAGCAAUUGAAGAAAUUGGAGAAGGCAGUUCCGAAGGGAAAAUACUAGAUACGGUUCUUACAUACUUGGAACUUCAGAAUUC